GUGAUGAGAAACGGCUUAUGACAUGGUGAAAUGUCCUAAACCAGGCUGA
RNAcentral lists this small nucleolar RNA (49 nucleotides) under Pyrobaculum islandicum DSM 4184. RNAcentral's name for it is "PISsR11". The record is from RNAcentral. Lineage: Archaea; Thermoproteati; Thermoproteota; Thermoprotei; Thermoproteales; Thermoproteaceae.